This 96-nucleotide transfer RNA is filed under the name Escherichia coli. RNAcentral describes it as "tRNA-Gly". The stretch from base 1 to 73 matches the Rfam family "tRNA". Rfam says of the family: Transfer RNA (tRNA) molecules are approximately 80 nucleotides in length. Their secondary structure includes four short double-helical elements and three loops (D, anti-codon, and T loops). The record is from RNAcentral. Lineage: Bacteria; Pseudomonadati; Pseudomonadota; Gammaproteobacteria; Enterobacterales; Enterobacteriaceae.
GCGGGAAUAGCUCAGUUGGUAGAGCACGACCUUGCCAAGGUCGGGGUCGCGAGUUCGAGUCUCGUUUCCCGAGUUCGAGUCUCGUUUCCCGCUCCA